Molecule: ribosomal RNA, 506 nt
Filed under: Eimeriidae sp.
Lineage: Eukaryota; Apicomplexa; Conoidasida; Eucoccidiorida; Eimeriidae
Description: bacterial SSU rRNA
Rfam family: Eukaryotic small subunit ribosomal RNA
Source: RNAcentral
GGAGCCUGAGAAACGGCUACCACAUCUAAGGAAGGCAGCAGGCGCGCAAAUUACCCAAUGAAAACAGUUUCGAGGUAGUGACGAGAAAUAACAAUACAGAGCAUUUAAAUGUUUUGUAAUUGGAAUGGUGGGAAUCUAAACCCCUUUCAGAGUAACAAUUGGAGGGAAAGUCUGGUGCCAGCAGCCGCGGUAAUUCCAGCUCCAAUAGCGUAUAUUUGAGUUGUUGCAGUUAAAAAGCUCGUAGUUGGAUUUCUGUUUUGAUUCUGGCGGAUGCCUAACUUAAUUGUGGGUGUUGACAUGCUCGGAAUGAGAACAUUUUCUCGAUGUGUGUUUUGUGGUGCUUUUAUAAGACUGCCGCAGGAUGAUAUCAUUGAGACUUUUACUUUGAGAAAAAUAGAGUGUUUCUGGCAGGCUUUAAAUCGCCUUGAAUACUGCAGCAUGGAAUAAUAAUUUAGGACUUUGGUUCUAUUUUGUUGGUUUCUAGGACUAAAGUAAUGAUUAAUAGG